UACGGAGGGGGCUAGCGUUGUUCGGAAUUACUGGGCGUAAAGCGCACGUAGGCGGCUUUGUAAGUUAGAGGUGAAAGCCCGGGGCUCAACUGCGGAAUUGCCUUUAAGACUGCAUCGCUAGAAUUGUGGAGAGGUAAGUGGAAUUCCGAGUGUAGAGGUGAAAUUCGUAGAUAUUCGGAAGAACACCAGUGGCGAAGGCGGCUCACUGGCCCGGUACUGACGCUGAGGUGCGAAAGCGUGGGGAGCAAACAGG
RNAcentral lists this ribosomal RNA (253 nucleotides) under uncultured bacterium. Its description in RNAcentral is "partial 16S ribosomal RNA". It matches the Rfam family "Bacterial small subunit ribosomal RNA", at positions 524 to 776 of the family's 1533-position model. The record is from RNAcentral.